AUUGAACGCUGGCGGCAGGCCUAACACAUGCAAGUCGAGCGAGCGGCGGACGGGUGAGAAAUGUAUGGGGACUCCCCGAUAGAGGGGGGUAACAACUGGAAACGGUAGCUAAUACCGCAUACUAUCGGAGAACCCACAUGGGAGUAGCUAGUUGGUGAGGUAAUGGCUCACCAAGGCGACGAUCCCUAGCUGGUCUGAGAGGAUGAUCAGCCACACUGGGACUGAGACACGGCCCAGACUCCUACGGAGGCAGCAGUGGGGAAUAUUGCACAAUGGGCGCAAGCCUGAUGCAGCCAUGCCGCGUGUAUGAAGAAGGCCCUAGGGUUGUAAAGUACUUUCAGUCGGGAGGCGUUACCGACAGAAGAAGCACCGGCUAACUCCGUGCCAGCAGCCGCGGUAAUAC
This 403-nucleotide ribosomal RNA is filed under the name uncultured bacterium. Its description in RNAcentral is "partial 16S ribosomal RNA". It matches the Rfam family "Bacterial small subunit ribosomal RNA", at positions 30 to 526 of the family's 1533-position model. The record is from RNAcentral.